Molecule: unclassified non-coding RNA, 298 nt
Filed under: Basidiomycota sp.
Lineage: Eukaryota; Fungi; Basidiomycota
Description: partial contains small subunit ribosomal RNA, internal transcribed spacer 1, and 5.8S ribosomal RNA
Rfam family: Eukaryotic small subunit ribosomal RNA (bases 1-47)
Source: RNAcentral
AAAGUCGUAACAAGGUUUCCGUAGGUGAACCUGCGGAAGGAUCAUUAUUCAAUUUUAAUGAAGGGAUUUGGUUGUAGCUGGCUCAUGAAUUUGAGCAUGUGCACACCUUUUCUCUUUCAUCCACACACACAUGUGCACCUGUGAGGCAGUUGGGGAAUUUACUGAUUGUUUUUCUAAGAACAAUUGGUGCUGGACCCACUGUCUACUUAACCAAUAUAAACUCAAUAUAUUUUAAAAAUGAAUGUAAUGGAUGUAACACAUCUAAUACUAAGUUUCAACAACGGAUCUCUUGGCUCUC